AGUCUAAUAGGACAGGAGUGAGCACAGAGGAGUGCUAGUCCCGCCCCUCACUUCCUGGACUUCAGCUUGGACAAAGAUGAUGCUGCAAACGGACAGGAUUAUGUUCUGGAUGUCAACAGGAGAGAGAUCCUCAUGUGGAUGUAAUUGAUAGACAAGCCCCAUCAUUCAGGCGGAGGAAAUGAAAGGCGUGUGCGUGUUAUCUGUCCCCGGUACCAGCAAGUCAUUUAGUCAACCUUCCCAGAGAUAAAGAUAAAAGAACAAAGAGGUGCGCACCUCAUGCAGAUCACCCAAAAGGAAAAGACAAGAAACAAAGGCAAGACGGAU
Molecule: long non-coding RNA, 324 nt
Organism: Hyla sarda
Lineage: Eukaryota; Metazoa; Chordata; Amphibia; Anura; Hylidae
Exons: 3
Source: RefSeq, a predicted model, not a curated record